RNAcentral lists this ribosomal RNA (440 nucleotides) under uncultured bacterium. RNAcentral's name for it is "bacterial SSU rRNA". It matches the Rfam family "Bacterial small subunit ribosomal RNA", at positions 338 to 795 of the family's 1533-position model. The record is from RNAcentral.
CCUACGGGCCGCACCAGUGGGGAAUCUUGGACAAUGGGCGAAAGCCCGAUCCAGCAAUGCCGCGUGUGUGAAGAAGGUCUUCGGAUUGUAAAGCACUUUCGACGGGGACGAUGAUGACGGUACCCGUAGAAGAAGCCCCGGCUAACUUCGUGCCAGCAGCCGCGGUAAUACGAAGGGGGCUAGCGUUGCUCGGAAUGACUGGGCGUAAAGGGCGCGUAGGCGGUUUAUGCAGUCAGAUGUGAAAUCCCCGGGCUUAACCUGGGAACUGCAUUUGAGACGCAUAGACUAGAGGUCGAGAGAGGGUUGUGGAAUUCCCAGUGUAGGGGUGAAAUUCGUAGAUAUUGGGAAGAACACCGGUGGCGAAGGCGGCAACCUGGCUCGAUACUGACGCUGAGGCGCGAAAGCGUGGGGAGCAAACAGGAUUAGAUACCCUCGUAGUC